UACGUAGGGGGCUAGCGUUGUCCGGAUUUAUUGGGCGUAAAGAGCGUGUAGGCGGCCAGAUAGGUCUGCUGUGAAAACUCGAGGCUCAACCUCGAGAUGUCGGCAGAAACCAUCUGGCUAGAGUCCGGAAGAGGAAAGCGGAAUUCCACGUGUAGCGGUGAAAUGCGUAGAGAUGUGGAGGAACACCAGUGGCGAAGGCGGCUUUCUGGUCUGUAACUGACGCUGAGGCGCGAAAGCGUGGGGAGCAAACAGG
Molecule: ribosomal RNA, 253 nt
Filed under: uncultured bacterium
Lineage: Bacteria
Description: partial 16S ribosomal RNA
Rfam family: Bacterial small subunit ribosomal RNA
Source: RNAcentral